ACUCCAGGUCAUUGCUGUGAAUCACGCCACAGUCUUUUCAACUAGCCAUCAGUGUACUCCGAGCUCUAGCAACUACGGCCACAAAAGGCUGGAUGACUUCUGAUGUUCUCAUACCUUGUCAAUGAAGCGUAGGGCCAAUGCAAGAAGCUACUCUGUGUGGGCGGGGGUAGGAUAAGUGGGGUGCAUGUCCCAACCCCAACACUGAUGAAGGGGUGUAAACAUUGAAGGCUAAAUGCGUCUGGAUACAUAUCAAGGUAAAAUUUUAGCAGAAAGAGAAAGCAGAAAAUGUAAUAAAACGAAACUUGCAUCGAAAUGUAACGUAGCCCAGUAAUUUCGGGUAAUGAAAUUGGUGAGACAGAUCCUCUCUGUUGACAUGAUUUUAUUUACAGUGUGGAGAUAAUAACCGGAUAGAUCUCGUUCUGUUACCACUGUCACUUUAUUUAUUCACAGAUUUCUAUAUUAUGUUGCUAAUUCGUGAUAUGACAUUGAAAGCAAAAAUAAAAAUGUGCAAACCCCGAGACUGAGCAUUGUGUUCCUGUAUAAUUGUAAAGCCUUAUUCACACAAAGUUCCAGCUCAGUUUCUGACGUAUCAUUUGCAGAAAUGAUAAACAGAAAAUCUGUCCUUUCCGCAACUACUGUAAGUACGUAUAUGGAAAUACAGCCAGGUUACGCGGUUACAUUGAGAGAACGCAGAAGUUUGCAACAGAAGGAACUGCACUGACAGCACGUCAGAAAUCUGCCAGUAUUGUAGCACGAAACGUGUGUACACAAUGGGACGUGAGAGUCAGUUCAUACUAGCGGUCCUGAUUGCAGCUUCUGUACAUUUGGCCUGUGACGCUGUAGAAAGAUACCCAGAUCCACUCGACUCCAAGAAAUAUUAUCUUCGGUACUCGGAUAACAGUAUCUAUAGCCAAACCUGUCCUGGUAACCUAACCUACGAAUACCCCGUACAGUUGUGUGUUCUGAAAGCUACUUCAUGUUCUUCAGUGAAGCCAGUUCUUAGAGCACUGACAGCUAACCAAUGUGGUUGCGAGACUGGCUUCUAUUGUAAUUCUAUUUAUAAUUUUACAUACUGUACGUAUGAUGGAAUAAAAAUUGUAAAUAACUUUGCCUGCCCGACAGGUAUAUGCCGUAUGAAUAAUACAAAUCCGUGUGUUUAAAGAUAACAGUAUUGUAAUCAUAAGAUCACUCAGUCAGUAGCUUCAUGUAGCCAUUGUGAAAAAUCUGUGCGUGUAUGAACAAUAUUGAAUAUAAUUGAAACUGUAAGGUAUAUUCAGUUUGUAUGACUGGAGUACUAUUACCUCCUGGGUUGAAACCUAUUGCAUAUUGAAAACAACGAUAUAUAUAUAUAUAUACAUAACCUGCAACAUAUUGAAUAUCUCAUCUUCUGGUAGAGGUGAGUAAUCUUAUGGGUCCCCGAUCUUCGAAGAGAAGCAGAUCCGGAUUCCGAAACGUCGCCUUUGGUAUAAAAUUCAGAUUACAUAUAAUAUUAAUUACAACUGGAAUUUUCGGCCUUUAUCGAAAUAUUCGUAAAAGAACUCUAAGAUAUGUAUUAGAUCUAAAUGUCUGUAAGGAUAACAUAUUAAUACAAUUAUUGAGUUUUUGGACAUUAUCCAUUAUUCUGUUCUUUAUUUAAAACACUGCGUUUUAGAUACUGGAUUCUGUCAGUGUCUUCACGAAAAAGUCUACUCGACUCGGCUCAAUCGCUAAAAGUACUAGACCGCACUCCCGGUCCGGAAGUGGUACACAGAAUUCAGUCUCCGAAAAUUUGAUAAAAAAAGGAUGAUAAUGUCUAAUAAUUCAAUAAUUUUGUAAGAUGCAAGUUUCUGAACCUUUCCACUUAACGAAUCUGUAAGCUAUAAGCAAAGCAUGAAGCAUAUAAGAUUUUAAAAUAUGGUAGCGUCUUCACGUCUUACAUUUUACAGAUGUGUCAGUUCUGUAUUACAUUUAUUACAAUAAAGAUUAUAUAUAUUAUUUCA
Cryptotermes secundus is the source of this 1979-nucleotide long non-coding RNA. RefSeq lists it as uncharacterized. The record is from RefSeq and is a predicted model, not a curated record. Lineage: Eukaryota; Metazoa; Arthropoda; Insecta; Blattodea; Kalotermitidae. The transcript is spliced from 2 exons.